CACAUACGCAUCCUUUGCUGAGGAUACGGUUAACGGAGCGAAAGCGACGUUCAACCGCAAAAGAAGCAGAGGGGGCUUAGUGGUGGGGUGACUGCGUACCUUUUGUAUAAUGGGUCAGCGACUUAUAUUCUGUAGCAAGGUUAACCGUAUAGGGGAGCCGCAGGGAAACCGAGUCUUAAUUGGGCGUUAAGUUGCAGGGUAUAGACCCGAAACCCGGUGAUCUAGCCAUGGGCAGGUUGAAGGUUGGGUAACACUAACUGGAGGACCGAACCGACUAAUGUUGAAAAAUUAGCGGAUGACCUGUGGCUGGGGGUGAAAGGCCAAUCAAACCGGGAGAUAGCUGGUUCUCCCCGAAAGCUAUUUAGGUAGCGCCUCGUGAAUUCAUCUCCGGGGGUAGAGCACUGUUUCGGCUAGGGGGCCAUCCCGGCUUACCAACCCGAUGCAAACUGCGAAUACCGGAGAAUGUUAUCACGGGAGACACACGGCGGGUGCUAACGUCCGUCGUGAAGAGGGAAACAACCCAGACCGCCAGCUAAGGUCCCAAAGUCAUGGUUAAGUGGGAAACGAUGUGGGAAGGCCCAGACAGCCAGGAUGUUGGCUUAGAAGCAGCCAUCAUUUAAAGAAAGCGUAAUAGCUCACUGGUCGAGUCGGCCUGCGCGGAAGAUGUAACGGGGCUAAACCAUGCACCGAAGCUGCGGCAGCGACGCUGAUGCGUUGUUGGGUAGGGGAGCGUUCUGUAAGCCUGCGAAGGUGGCCUGUGAGGGUUGCUGGAGGUAUCAGAAGUGCGAAUGCUGACAUAAGUAACGAUAAAGCGGGUGAAAAGCCCGCUCGCCGGAAGACCAAGGGUUCCUGUCCAACGUUAAUCGGGGCAGGGUGAGUCGACCCCUAAGGCGAGGCCGAAAGGCGUAGUCGAUGGGAAACGGGUUAAUAUUCCCGUACUUGGUGUUACUGCGAAGGGGGGACGGAGAAGGCUAUGUUGGCCGGGCGACGGUUGUCCCGGUUUAAGCGUGUAGGUGUGUGUUCCAGGUAAAUCCGGUUCACUUUAACACUGAGGCGUGACGACGAGGCACUACGGUGCUGAAGCAACAAAUGCCCUGCUUCCAGGAAAAGCCUCUAAGCAUCAGGUAACAUCAAAUCGUACCCCAAACCGACACAGGUGGUCAGGUAGAGAAUACCAAGGCGCUUGAGAGAACUCGGGUGAAGGAACUAGGCAAAAUGGUGCCGUAACUUCGGGAGAAGGCACGCUGACACGUAGGUGAAGUGAUUUACUCAUGGAGCUGAAGUCAGUCGAAGAUACCAGCUGGCUGCAACUGUUUAUUAAAAACACAGCACUGUGCAAACACGAAAGUGGACGUAUACGGUGUGACGCCUGCCCGGUGCCGGAAGGUUAAUUGAUGGGGUCAGCGCAAGCGAAGCUCCUGAUCGAAGCCCCGGUAAACGGCGGCCGUAACUAUAACGGUCCUAAGGUAGCGAAAUUCCUUGUCGGGUAAGUUCCGACCUGCACGAAUGGCGUAAUGAUGGCCAGGCUGUCUCCACCCGAGACUCAGUGAAAUUGAACUCGCUGUGAAGAUGCAGUGUACCCGCGGCAAGACGGAAAGACCCCGUGAACCUUUACUAUAGCUUGACACUGAACAUUGAGCCUUGAUGUGUAGGAUAGGUGGGAGGCUUUGAAGUGUGGACGCCAGUCUGCAUGGAGCCGACCUUGAAAUACCACCCUUUAAUGUUUGAUGUUCUAACGUGGACCCGUUACCCGGGUUGCGGACAGUGUCUGGUGGGUAGUUUGACUGGGGCGGUCUCCUCCUAAAGAGUAACGGAGGAGCACGAAGGUUGGCUAAUCCUGGUCGGACAUCAGGAGGUUAGUGCAAUGGCAUAAGCCAGCUUGACUGCGAGCGUGACGGCGCGAGCAGGUGCGAAAGCAGGUCAUAGUGAUCCGGUGGUUCUGAAUGGAAGGGCCAUCGCUCAACGGAUAAAAGGUACUCCGGGGAUAACAGGCUGAUACCGCCCAAGAGUUCAUAUCGACGGCGGUGUUUGGCACCUCGAUGUCGGCUCAUCACAUCCUGGGGCUGAAGUAGGUCCCAAGGGUAUGGCUGUUCGCCAUUUAAAGUGGUACGCGAGCUGGGUUUAGAACGUCGUGAGACAGUUCGGUCCCUAUCUGCCGUGGGCGCUGGAGAACUGAGGGGGGCUGCUCCUAGUACGAGAGGACCGGAGUGGACGCAUCACUGGUGUUCGGGUUGUCAUGCCAAUGGCACUGCCCG
This 2255-nucleotide ribosomal RNA is filed under the name Salmonella enterica subsp. enterica serovar Durham. RNAcentral's name for it is "partial 23S ribosomal RNA". It matches the Rfam family "Bacterial large subunit ribosomal RNA". The record is from RNAcentral. Lineage: Bacteria; Pseudomonadati; Pseudomonadota; Gammaproteobacteria; Enterobacterales; Enterobacteriaceae.